GUAGGGAAUAUUGGGCAAUGGUCGGAAGACUGACCCAGCCAUGCCGCGUGCAGGAAGACGGCCCUCUGGGUUGUAAACUGCUUUUAUCUGGGAAGAAAAAGGCCAUGCGUGGCAAAUUGCCGGUACCAGAUGAAUAAGCACCGGCUAACUCCGUGCCAGCAGCCGCGGUAAUACGGAGGGUGCGAGCGUUGUCCGGAUUUAUUGGGUUUAAAGGGUGCGUAGGCGGCUGAUUAAGUCAGCGGUGAAAGACUUCGGCUUAACCGGAGCAGUGCCGUUGAUACUGGUUGGCUUGAGUGUCGGAGGGGUACAUGGAAUUGAUGGUGUAGCGGUGAAAUGCAUAGAUACCAUCAGGAACACCGAUAGCGAAGGCAUUGUACUGGCCGACAACUGACGCUGAUGCACGAAAGUGUGGGGAUCGAACAGGAUUAGAAACCCGUGUAGUCC
RNAcentral lists this ribosomal RNA (444 nucleotides) under uncultured bacterium. Its description in RNAcentral is "bacterial SSU rRNA". It matches the Rfam family "Bacterial small subunit ribosomal RNA", at positions 354 to 796 of the family's 1533-position model. The record is from RNAcentral.